UGCCACAGCCAUAUCACCCUGCAGCCCAAGACCAGUUACUCACUGAAGCUAAGCAGGGCUGAGCCUGGUCAGUACCUGGAUGGGAGACCACUAGGGAACACUAGGUUGCUGUUGGAA
Molecule: ribosomal RNA, 117 nt
Filed under: Danio rerio (zebrafish)
Lineage: Eukaryota; Metazoa; Chordata; Actinopteri; Cypriniformes; Danionidae
Source: RNAcentral